UACGGAAUGUGCAAACGUUAUUCGGAAUCACUGGGCUUAAAGAGUCCGUAGGCGGCAUGUUAGGUGAGGUGUGAAAUCCCCCGGCUCAACCGAGGAAUUGCGCUUCAAACCGGCGUGCUUGAGGAAGAUAGAGGUGGGCGGAACUGAUGGUGGAGCGGUGAAAUGCGUUGAUAUCAUCAGGAACACCGGAGGCGAAGGCGGCCCACUGGGUCUUUUCUGACGCUGAGGUGCGAGAGCGUGGGGAGCGAACCGG
This 253-nucleotide ribosomal RNA is filed under the name uncultured bacterium. RNAcentral describes it as "partial 16S ribosomal RNA". It matches the Rfam family "Bacterial small subunit ribosomal RNA", at positions 524 to 776 of the family's 1533-position model. The record is from RNAcentral.